RNAcentral lists this ribosomal RNA (492 nucleotides) under uncultured bacterium. Its description in RNAcentral is "partial 16S ribosomal RNA". It matches the Rfam family "Bacterial small subunit ribosomal RNA", at positions 29 to 507 of the family's 1533-position model. The record is from RNAcentral.
AGUGAACGCUGGCGGUAGGCCUAACACAUGCAAGUCGAACGGCAGCACAGUAGGAGCUUGCUCUUACGGGUGGCGAGUGGCGGACGGGUGAGGAAUACAUCGGAAUCUACUUUUUCGUGGGGGAUAACGUAGGGAAACUUACGCUAAUACCGCAUACGACCUACGGGUGAAAGCAGGGGAUCUUCGGACCUUGCGCGAUUGAAUGAGCCGAUGUCGGAUUAGCUAGUUGGCGGGGUAAAGGCCCACCAAGGCGACGAUCCGUAGCUGGUCUGAGAGGAUGAUCAGCCACACUGGAACUGAGACACGGUCCAGACUCCUACGGGAGGCAGCAGUGGGGAAUAUUGGACAAUGGGCGCAAGCCUGAUCCAGCCAUCCCGCGUGGGUGAAGAAGGCCUUCGGGUUGUAAAGCCCUUUUGUUGGGAAAGAAAAGCAGCAGGUUAAUACCCCGCUGUUCUGACGGUACCCAAAGAAUAAGCACCGGCUAACUUCGUG